UACGGAGGGCGCAAGCGUUGUUCGGAAUCAUUGGGCGUAAAGCGCGUGUAGGCGGUUUGGUAAGUCGGGUGUGAAAUCCCGGGGCUCAACCCCGGAACUGCAUUCGAAACUGCCUGGCUAGAGUCCCGGAGGGGAGGGCGGAAUUCCCGGUGUAGAGGUGAAAUUCGUAGAUAUCGGGAGGAACACCAGCGGCGAAGGCGGCCCUCUGGACGGUGACUGACGCUGAGACGCGAAAGCGUGGGGAGCAAACAGG
Molecule: ribosomal RNA, 253 nt
Filed under: uncultured bacterium
Lineage: Bacteria
Description: partial 16S ribosomal RNA
Rfam family: Bacterial small subunit ribosomal RNA
Source: RNAcentral